CCCUCUCACUCUUCCACGUCUAACUCUCAAGGUCACCGCGCCGUCGUCGCGCGCAUGACACUCACCCGAGGGGAACAGUCGUCCCCGGAGGCAGAAUCAUCCACCAUCCUGCUCCCCUCUCCGCCGCUCUGGCUCUUUGGCUCUGCAACUACAUGUUUCUCUACCUCUAACUAUCUGCGACAGUGUAACUGCAUCUCUUCCUCUCUGGUCUCUGGUUCGCUGUUGCUCUUCUUCUCGCCUUCGCCGCCAGUUCAGUUAUUAUAGCAGAUAAAUCAUCAAAAAACAACUGAUAUUGUUUAGAUAUUUAAAGCAACAUGUUGUGCAACAACUAGAAAAGAGAGAAGCACAAGUAAUUGAGAAGGAACAACAGCAGGCAACGGUGGUGGCACCACGAGAGAAAAAGGAACCACCGGCUACUGUGUUGGCAGAAUCUGUGGAAACGGAAACAGAGCAGGCACUAGUGGUGAUAACUGAUAAGAAUAGAGGAAUGGAACCACAUCAGACAUUAGUAGUUAGUGGGAAAAAAACUAAGUGGAAAAUAAUGGUGUGCUUGCUUAUCUACUGCAUUAGCUAAACAAAAAUAAUUAAGCAGCACUUUCUUGAUUAUCCCUGACCCUAUUAUGUAGUCAAUUCGAUGCACAAAUAGAAUUGAAGUUAGUCCACAAGUUGGAACAUGAAGCCAUAUUUUUUUUCCC
Molecule: long non-coding RNA, 695 nt
Organism: Arachis ipaensis
Lineage: Eukaryota; Viridiplantae; Streptophyta; Magnoliopsida; Fabales; Fabaceae
Source: RefSeq, a predicted model, not a curated record